This 525-nucleotide ribosomal RNA is filed under the name uncultured bacterium. Its description in RNAcentral is "partial 16S ribosomal RNA". It matches the Rfam family "Bacterial small subunit ribosomal RNA", at positions 28 to 523 of the family's 1533-position model. The record is from RNAcentral.
GACGAACGCUGGCGGCGUGCCUAAUACAUGCAAGUCGAACGAAGCUGUUUUAACUGGUGCUUGCACCGACUUAAACAACUGAGUGGCGAACGGGUGAGUAACACGUGGGUAACCUGCCCCAAAGCGGGGGAUAACAUUUGGAAACAGAUGCUAAUACCGCAUAACCACAGAAACCACAUGGUUUCUGUGUCAAAGAUGGUUUCGGCUAUCACUUUGGGAUGGACCCGGGGCGUAUUAGCUAGUUGGUAAGGUAAUGGCUUACCAAGGCAAUGAUACGUAGCCGAACUGAGAGGUUGAUCGGCCACAUUGGGACUGAGACACGGCCCAAACUCCUACGGGAGGCAGCAGUGGGGAAUCUUCCGCAAUGGACGAAAGUCUGACGGAGCAACGCCGCGUGAGUGAAGAAGGUUUUCGGAUUGUAAAGCUCUGUCUUUUGGGACGAAUGUGCUUUUUGUAAAUAACGAGAAGCAAUGACGGUACCGAAGGAGGAAGCCACGGCUAACUACGUGCCAGCCGCCGCCGUAA